Molecule: non-coding RNA, 461 nt
Organism: Arachis ipaensis
Lineage: Eukaryota; Viridiplantae; Streptophyta; Magnoliopsida; Fabales; Fabaceae
Source: RefSeq, a predicted model, not a curated record
UCACACCUACUUCUCAAUUGGCAACAAGGUGACUAACAGGUAAGAGUAUGCUUCCAAUUUGCCUCCUUAACUUUAAGACUCUGCUGCUUCCUCAAUCUCCUUCCAAUCUUCUAAUCUUCCUUUCGGGCGUGGCGGGUAGCCCAUUGCCAAGGUUCAUUUCUUGUGUUGUUGUGUUGAUCCCGUCCAUCGCUGCAAUUGCGAACAAUGAUGUGGAGGUCAACUCGCUUUUCUCAUCUUGUUGCUAGAUUCACUCAACUUCAUCCUAAGCAUGCUUCUCACCGUUACUGCAACUUAUCCCGUUUCAACCCCUCACAAUCACAGAUGCACCAAAUCAUUAUAUUGGCCACAACGUUUCCAGGAAGGAUAAAAAUAAGUAUCUUCUCUCUACUGUAAGUAUCUAUUAUCAUGCCCAGUUAAGCUCGUCUUUUUUCUCGAAUUGCUUUUUUAAAUACCAAAUAAUG